This 466-nucleotide ribosomal RNA is filed under the name Vreelandella stevensii. Its description in RNAcentral is "partial 16S ribosomal RNA". It matches the Rfam family "Bacterial small subunit ribosomal RNA", at positions 338 to 795 of the family's 1533-position model. The record is from RNAcentral. Lineage: Bacteria; Pseudomonadati; Pseudomonadota; Gammaproteobacteria; Oceanospirillales; Halomonadaceae.
CCUACGGGCGGCAGCAGUGGGGAAUAUUGGACAAUGGGCGAAAGCCUGAUCCAGCCAUGCCGCGUGUGUGAAGAAGGCCUUCGGGUUGUAAAGCACUUUCAGUGGGGAAGAAAGCCUUGGGGCUAAUACCCUCGAGGAAGGACAUCACCCACAGAAGAAGCACCGGCUAACUCCGUGCCAGCAGCCGCGGUAAUACGGGAGGGUGCGAGCGUUAAUCGGAAUUACUGGGCGUAAAGCGCGCGUAGGCGGUCUGAUAAGCCGGUUGUGAAAGCCCCGGGCUCAACCUGGGAACGGCAUCCGGAACUGUCAGGCUAGAGUGCAGGAGAGGAAGGUAGAAUUCCCGGUGUAGCGGUGAAAUGCGUAGAGAUCGGGAGGAAUACCAGUGGCGAAGGCGGCCUUCUGGACUGACACUGACGCUGAGGUGCGAAAGCGUGGGUAGCAAACAGGAUUAGAUACCCGAGUAGUC